Molecule: long non-coding RNA, 5110 nt
Organism: Columba livia (rock pigeon)
Lineage: Eukaryota; Metazoa; Chordata; Aves; Columbiformes; Columbidae
Exons: 5
Source: RefSeq, a predicted model, not a curated record
GGUCACACCAACACCUCACCCCAAUGCGAAGAACUGUGCUUGUCAUAUGGCUACGCAAUUUUUUUAUCCUCCAAGUCUGCAAGGACCAUGUUGAGAAGCAGCAGCGGGGGUCUCCUCAGGCCCUGUCCAAGCCCACACAAGUCAAUGAGUGUUCUCCCAUUAAAUUAGGUCCCCAAGGCAGAUGCCUCAAUGACUGAUAACCUUGCAAAUGCGUUACUUUCCUCUGCUGAUUUCAGAAGGCCCAGUUAGCACAGUUAUUUCAAAAGACACUGCUACAGGCAUGAUCUCAACAUUUAAUUACAUAACAUUUUAAUAAGCACUUGAGAGCAUUUGAAUGCGUCUCCCCCCUUUCUGAUUCUUCCAGGUUUGUUUCUCUUAAAAAAAAUCAGCAAACACAGUGCAAACCAGGCUCUAGUUGUUUCCAGCUACUAAAGAUUUCCUUAAAUUUCCCCAAUGAGUACAACCUCUCUGCAUCAGACAGUUCCUCAUUCAUUUUGGGAAGAUACUAGGAGGGAGAGAGAGGGGGAGAAGAAAAGACAGAGGAAAAAAAAACAGAGGCUUAUGUUCCAAAGAUCACUACAGGCCAAAUAUUCUCAGGCACCCUGGCUUUUACAGAGAAAUCCUUAACAGUAUAAAAAUGGAAACACUUCAAAGAUAAAAUAAAUAAUUUAAUAACAGUCUGCUUCUCCAAAGGGUUUUGAACAAGUUUUAGAUUUGCCAGUGAAUGUUCCCCUUAGGCAGUAGGCCAGUGGAAAAAAAGGCACAGUGUGCUUCUUCUUUCGUAAGAUGUACUUUGUGUUAUUUUAUUUCUUGAUAAGAUUCAGAAACAAGUCUUUCCCCUUUAACCCUCCCUCCGAAAGCCAAAGAUGGUGCAAAUGCAAGUGAUCUCUUACAUACAGCACACACCAAAAAAGUUGUUGCAAUAGAUACAACCCCAGCCAGAUUGCAUCUUUUCCUUUCUGCUUGUUUCACUUACUGUCACAUGCUGAGAAGCACCUCAAAUACUACAGUUAGGUACGCUUAAAGAGAAGCCAUUUCAAGACUUCAACUGCCUUCUGUGCAAGUAAGACUCUACAGUAUUUAUAGGCUUGUAAGGAAAAUGCACUAGACUAAAUCGUGGCAUUAGUGGUUGUAACAUUCUUGAUAGGUCAAAGAGGCUGCUAUUCUAGUAAAAAGCAUUUAUUUGGCAAUCACAUGAGCACUGGGAAGGAUAGAGCUGCAUUAAUGUCUUCCUCAGAUUGGCCUCUACAUGCUACCUAGUUUUGUCUCAGUUUUUACACCCUUUCUUGUAAUUACGGAGAAGGGGAAAAAAAGACAGGAGGCUGCUUUGUCAUUUGUUGCUGGAUAUUGUGCUGGUUUUUACUUGUCUUUAAUGAAAAACCUUGCUUUCAGGAAUCCCAGGACCCUGAGAUCUGUAUCAAAGUAUAGAGCAAGGAAACUUGCUGUUGGUACAGUAAGACCAGGUCAGGGAACUUCAAAAAAGCUGAAUAUACAGAAGUCCAUGGGGCCUCAUGGGAUGCAUCCAUGAAUACUUGAAGGACCUGCCCAAUGGCACUGUGAAGCCACUCCCAAUUAUUUUUGAAAGGUCAUGGCAACUGGGAAUGAUUCCUGAGAACUGGAAGAAAGCAAAUGUCACUUUGGUCUUCAAGAAGGCCAAGAAGGAGGAUCUGGGGAAGUACAGGCCAGUUAGCCUUACCUUGGUCCUUGGGAUGAUGAUGGAGCAAAUACUCCUGGAAGCCUUUCCCAAACACAGGAAGGACAAGAAUGUGAUUUGGAAUAGUCAGCAUGGAAUUCUGAAGGGGAAAUCAUGCCUGACCAACCUGACAGCCUUUUACGACGAGGUGACUCGUUUGGCUGAUGAGGGGAGAGCAGUGGAUGUUGUUUAUGUUCAUUUUAACAAGGCUUAUGACAGUAUCUCUCACAACAUCCUAGGUGAUAAGAUGAAGUACAAACUUCAUAAGUGGACAGUGAGGUGGACUGCAAACUGGCUGAGCUGUUGAACUCAAAGCGUGAGCAGCAGCACAAAAUGCAGAUGGAGGACAGUCUCUAGUAGUGUACCCCAGGGGUCAACACAGAGGCUGGUACUCUUCAACACCUAUAUUCAUUGCCUAGACAGAGUGACACUCUCAGAGGGACACUUUGCAGGUGAUAAAAAACUGGGAGGAGUAGCUGUCAUGCUGUCAUUUAGAGGGACCUCAACAGGGUGAAGAAGUAGCCCAACAGGAAUCUCAUGAAGUUCUACAGGGGGAAAUGCCAGCUUCUGCACCUAGGGAGGGACAACUCCAUGCACCAGUACUGUCCAGCCAACUGUCUCAAAAGCAUCUUUGCAGAAAAGGCUCAAGUGUCCAAGUCAAACAUGAGCCAGCAACAUGCUAUUACAGCAAGGAAAGCCAACAGCUUCCUGACCUGCAUUAGGAGGAGGGUCAUCACCAGCAUGUCAAGGGAGUUGAUCCUUCACCUCUGUUUAGCACCAGUGACACAUCUGGUGUGCUGGAUCCUGUUCUGGCCUCCCCAGUACAAAAUAACAUGGGCAUACUGGAGUGAGUCCAUUGAAGGGUCAGAAAGACGAUUAAGGAAUUAGAGCAUAUGAUGUUAGAGAAGAAGCUGCGAGAGCUUGGACUAUUCAGUCUUAAGAAGAGAAGACUCAGGGGUAUCUUAACAAUGUGCAUGUAUACCUGAUGGGGGGGGGUAAAGAACAUGGAGCCACAUUCCUCUCAGAGCUACCCAGUGACAGCACAAGAGGCAAUGGCCAUAAAUCGGAAUACAGAUAAUUCCAUUUAAACUCAAAAAUAUCUUUUUGACAGCGAAGGUGGUCAAACACUGAAACAAGCUGCCCAGAGCAUUUGUGGCCUCUCCUUUGGAGUUAUUAAAAUCCCAUCUAGAAUAGUCCCUGGGCAACCUGCUCUGAGCAGGGGGAUUGGACUAGGUGUUCUCCAGAGGCAUCUUACAGCCUCAGCUCCUCAAUGAUUCUGUGCUGGAUGGGUGUACAAUGCCUCUAUCCAUCACAGAGCACAACUCCACCACAGUGGAUGCAGGGAGCUCUCUCACUAGAAGUGGACCAGCUGCUUCUGUGGUUUUGGGCGUUACAGGCUGUGGUACAGGCUCCAACAAUGACAAUAAUAAAACCAGUCCUUUCCAAUGAUUUCACCACUUCUUUAUUUUAUUCUGUGGUUUUCCCAUGUUAUCCAAGCACAGAUGCCCGUGAUUGCUUUUCCUGCUCCAUUAUCCCUUCUGUGUUAACCUCCUCCCACCCAGCAGCUUUCCUUUACCACGGCAUUCUCGGACAAAUAUGCGAAGUAAAAUUUGCAAGCCGAAUUAUAAUAUACCCAAAUUCAAGGUGGAUAUUUAGGUCCAUACAUUGGCCAAAGGAGUGAGAAUGAGAAGACAUCUGAGCACAAGCAAUGAAUGGUGAAUAACAGGAUGAUGACAACCACACAUGGCGUCUGAGUCCUUUCUCAGGGAUGUUAAUAUAGUGCAGGAGGACCUUCUUGCAGACAACCAGACCCACGGCACUGGAGCUGUCAGAGCAGGAGGCCCAUGGGCUUCAGCAACAGCAGCUUUGGGAAGAAAGAGGCUGGAUUGUGGCAAAAGGAAAUGAGAGGACUGGACUAAGAAAUUUGGCCUUGGCAUUGAUCCGGAUUUACAUGGAUGUAGCAGCGCAGAACUGAGCUUGCCGUCUGUCUCUUUUUCAUGCACUCACAUCACGAUUCAGGAUUUUGUUCUGACUUCAAAGCAAAUGUGUUCAGAAUCAAGGAACAUUCCUCAAACACAAAACAAACAAAAAGCUGGAAGAAGAAUAAGACAGAUGACGCCGUCAAAUGAAAGGAAGAGCAGAGCAGCAUUCUACAGCUUGAAUAGAAAAGUGAUGGCUAAAAUAGUCAUGUCUAGUACACGUCCAGUACCGGGGCUGGAUCCCAAGGGACAUUGUGUGCAGACAUACAAUACAAAGAUUGUUAUGAACAAGGAUUACUUCACCACCUCCUGCAGCCGCUUCAGAAGUGAGUUAAAGUUCUAAGGGAUCCUUCUCAAGAUGGAGAGAUUGGAAGACCAGAGCUGCACACUGUAUAAAAGAUGUGAUCAAACACCUUCUCUUCGACAUGCAAUUUUUGGAAAGCUUUCAUUUUCCUCUCAAGCGCUCCUAUCUGAGACACCCGGUAAGUUGCUGGCAACACUGGACAGUAUUGCUGGAAUCUUGAUAAGCUUAAAUUUAACAACUGGGCACAUUCUUGGGAUCUCUGUAAUUGAAAGAGUCUGGUUACAGCAAACAAAGAGAAGAAAGGAUAAUUUUCUCCGCUGGCAUGGUUUUAUGUCUUUAUAUUCUUGGUUGUUCCUUUUUGAAACUUAAAUCAAAUGAAAUGUGCCCUUUCAUGAUGCAUUUUUAACAUGCUGAUAUAAUUCCUUAAGUACAAUAUUCAUGGCACCAAAACGCUCUUCGGCAUUAAUUACUGUGACAGCGACAUAGACUUCUUUGUCAAAUGCCUUUCCAGUUUAGCUGGUCAAGGCUCCUUUUAAUCAUUCAUACUCUCUUCACAGUAAUUCCUGCUAAGCUUGUGACGCAGCCUGAACCCACUGGACGGGCCAGGUUACAUCAUAGAAGAGCAGAAAUACAAAACUCUUCAGGUCUGAAGCCUGCUUUGGAGACAGACACUAUGCAAGAACCUUGUCAGGGUGAGCGCAAACCACAUCCUUUCAAAUUUGUUCUUGCUAAUAAGAAGUAAUAAGACCGGCUGUAAUUUAUGUGCACCAGUUGGUCAUGAUUUUCUUUAUACAAACAGCCAACAUAUGCUUUCAGUCUAACAUCACCUAGUUCAAAGAAUACAAUAAACCAGAACAAAUGUCAAAGGACCACGAGCAUCAGCUCAGCAAGUGUGUCUUGUGUGUAGCAGGAGGUGGCCAUGCCAAGGUACCAAUGACAGCCUCUUGCCACAUAGGCAGAGAUCUUGGAGAUGCAGAGGGGAGGUGCGCGGAAGACGAGAUGCUGUAAUUUCAGCCAGAGCCUAGAGCAAUCUCUCUCUCCUUCCAUUAUGGAAUGAUAAUCACUACCAUACAGUUCUUAAACUUUAGGCAGUAACAAUAAGGCCAAGAUCAGUUUUGUGCCAAGGUCACUUUU